GGGGGUGCACUGGCUUCGACGGGGGUUGCGAAAUCGUCUGGCGCAUGCCGAGGGGGCAGCUUUCCUCGUAAAUCCAGCGGCAAAACAUAUAGUUGCCAACGACGACAACUACGCUCUGGCCGCUUAAGGCCUAGCCCCGAAAGCGCUUGUGCCCGUGCUCGCGCCGUAGGGUCAUCAUCACGGGAUCGGUCUUGGCGGCGACCCGCCAACCAAGGCCAAGACAAAGCGGGUAUGGGUUGCGGUGUGCCUCGCACGUUGUGUUGCCGCCGCCCGAGAUCGAACAACGAGCUAAGCAUGUAGUGCCGGGCAUGGAGUGCCUCCGGACGGCGGUUCGAUUCCGCCCACCUCCACCA
RNAcentral lists this transfer-messenger RNA (353 nucleotides) under Lysobacteraceae. Its description in RNAcentral is "Lysobacter_B pythonis Standard tmRNA". It matches the Rfam family "transfer-messenger RNA". From Rfam's summary of the family: Bacterial tmRNA, also known as 10Sa RNA or SsrA, is named for its dual tRNA and mRNA-like properties. Its role is to liberate the mRNA from a stalled ribosome. Lineage: Bacteria; Pseudomonadati; Pseudomonadota; Gammaproteobacteria; Lysobacterales. The record is from RNAcentral. RNAcentral also lists the same sequence under 1 other name.